UAGGCAAUCCAAUCCAAAGCAGAGGCGGUCUUGCGCACAGUGGUCUUGCGGUACUUGGGUACUUGCGGCACUUGCGGUCUUGCCUGGGUACUUGCCAGGGUGUUUCCGGUGUUUCUGUUCACCUGUGUAGAUUUGGAGGUAACGGCUGUCUCUGAGUUGACCAUGUUGCUCCACGGCUUUCUUGCCGUGCUUCUUUGCGCGUCCUUCGUGUCUGCGGACGAGAAGGAGCCGGCAGACAAAGUUAUAGUCAAGGCUCGUGUCGAGAGCUGCGGCGGAUGACGACUGAACGCCUAUCCCGAGGUGAAGAAGUUUGUCUAUGACGACAUUCCACUCUUUCACAACGUGGAGUUCAAGGUGAUCGGAGGUGCAAAGCCGGAGGUCCUCUUCCUCAACAUGAACGACGAGGAAGUUGAGCGCCAUAGCCUGGAGGGGCGCAGCCGCGAUGAGUGCAACCAGCUGCUUCUAGACAGGGGCUUCGAGAAGAAGAAGCAGGAGGCUCCCCAAGAAGAAGAAGGACCUGGCUUGUUUGCCGACGAGAAGGCCGAACUAUAAGUCCGACCUUUGCUCUUUUCUGUUUGUUUUGUUUUUGUGGCACUUUUGCAGGCGCUUUUUGUUUCUGCACUCCUGUUCUUGCACCGCAUUACUUUCCAGAGCUGCCGUUCCUUCACGGCAGCACGUCCCAGUGUCCGAAGCGAGCAUUGUUUUGACGCUCGAAUGAAGUUACCGUUGGAAAUUUGUUAACAAACACGGCGGCGACGGAUGUGUCGCGUCGGAAGCUCUGCUCCGAUGAACUCAGGGUUGUGCUGUUUUGGGUUGGACGAGGCAAUAAAAGAAAUGUUUGGUACAA
Molecule: RNA transcript, 847 nt
Organism: Ixodes scapularis (black-legged tick)
Lineage: Eukaryota; Metazoa; Arthropoda; Arachnida; Ixodida; Ixodidae
Gene name: selenoprotein M-like
Exons: 4
Source: RefSeq, a predicted model, not a curated record